CCAGCAAGAUCAUCUCCUCUUUCCUUCCGUUCAAUCUUGACCGCCGCAGAUAGAUAGAAACCUCCCUCUCCUCUCCCUCUGCAACCCCGAGCUAGCUCCUGCAUUCGAUCUCCUCAGCCGCGCAAUCGCAAUCUGCACCGGGAACCGACCGACCUCAUUAGACAACGCCCAUCUGCGCCGUGCAACGACGUGCUCGUUCUACAUAAUGGCGCCGCCACCGACUCCGACUCCGACCUACGACCCUAUUCUUGUUAUCAUUGUCGAUUCUGAUGGAGGCAUCAGGAUCAUCUGUAUUCAAAGCGAGGCCACGCAAUAGCAGCAGUUAUGGAAGCAUUCUAUGCGACGCUGCUACACAAAGUUGCACCCGAGACCGAUAUAAUCAUGCGUGACAGCAGCCAUGCUUGAACUGGGCAAAUGGCCGGAGGGGUAUCUGCCUAAAAUCAAGGCCAAGACCAAGACAAACCUCUCCCGUGCGCAAGAAAUUGACAUGUAAAAUUUGAACGGGUUGUUUCUGUACUCAUGUUUGCGGCAUAUGAACUGCUUGUGAAUCCAUCAGUUUGUGACAAACAAAAAGGAAGAUUUGUCACACGACGUUA
Long non-coding RNA from Triticum aestivum (bread wheat), 596 nucleotides. RefSeq lists it as uncharacterized. The transcript is spliced from 3 exons. The record is from RefSeq and is a predicted model, not a curated record. Lineage: Eukaryota; Viridiplantae; Streptophyta; Magnoliopsida; Poales; Poaceae.